Molecule: long non-coding RNA, 424 nt
Organism: Arabidopsis lyrata subsp. lyrata
Lineage: Eukaryota; Viridiplantae; Streptophyta; Magnoliopsida; Brassicales; Brassicaceae
Exons: 2
Source: RefSeq, a predicted model, not a curated record
UUCACAUCCUUACAGCUUGAUUAUUUUACUUAAGUUAUGAAGUCUGCGACGUUAUUUCUGUUUUCAUGUGUUAUGAUGCUCCUUAUUUUGAACACGGUUCAAGAGAUGGAAGAUCAAAAGGUGAGGAAGUGCAAAAUCAGUAAUGUUUGGAAGGAAGAUGGUCGACAUUGCACUGGUGAUGCUAAAGCUAGAGACUAUAUGUGUGUAGAAGCUUUUGCGGCGUUAAAAACAAUUGUUACUAAUUGCACUUGUGAUGAAACUAGUUACCCUGAUCUUACUUGUAACUGUCUUGCCGAUUGUGAGUGGUGAUCAUGUGAAUUAAGUCACUUUAAGAUAUUUAGUUAAAAAGAUGUGUGAUCAACUUCAAUCCAAAAGAGAUGCCAAAUCAAGAAAAAAUUGAGGCUGUUUUACUUUUACCCAUUGA